AUUCUUUUGUAGUUCACAAGCAUGAUUGUGUGUUCCUGUGCAUGUGUGAGAUGUCACCCUUGUGAAUCUUGAUACGACGUUGGCACGUUACCCAUCUCACA
Pongo abelii (Sumatran orangutan) is the source of this 101-nucleotide small nucleolar RNA. The record is from Ensembl. NCBI's taxonomy places the organism in Eukaryota, Metazoa, Chordata, Mammalia, Primates, Hominidae.